AUGCCAGCUGAAGGUCACUUGUCCUGUGGGAUCCCCAUCCUGGGAACAUGGAGGGGCUGCGGGAAGCAGAGUGGAAUGGAAGUGUCUUCACUCUUGACUUGGACUACAGAAGGCUGCACAUAUUUAGAAUCUCUGCAUGGUGCAAAUCAGCACACCCAGAGGAGCUCUGGGGAUUUGCUCCUGCUAAGAAACCAGUCCCUCACUUCCUCCAGGCUCUGACAUUUCGAGGACCGUGUUACGACACAGAACAGCAAUUCUGAAAUGCCAGAGCAAUCCCACUUUAUCACCACGUGGUCCUGCUGAGUAAAAUAACAAAGCUCAGUUUCUCCAUGCAGGGUACAUUUCAGCAUGCAAGUUUAUUUUUCUGCAAUGACAGUUUUCUUCCUCCUCUAAUUUCACCAGGAAUUACUAUGGGCCUGCAUACUCCUCAGGAAAUACUGUCUCAGCAAACUGAUUUGUUACAACUUCUGGACAGAAUCAAAAUUCAUUACACUAAUCAGAUUCUUUGAUAAUUCUGCAAAGCACUGCUCUCAGGUGUGAUGUGGAACCACAAGUACAGAUAUUCUUGAUGUCUAGUAGUUUUAAAAUCUGGUGAGAUAUUUUAAUGGACAGUUCAUCCUCUCUGCUGAUGUGCGCACAUGUACUGUUAACAUUAUACUGAGCCAUACUGAGCAGGCAUAGUAAAACCCACCAGAAUAUGCUAUUUUCUGUAUUUGUAAGAAGUGAGCCCACCUCUGUGGGAAUCCAUUCCCAGCACAGUACAGAGACAUAUGGUAGUUAAUAGCAAAGCCACAAAUCAUCUCUAAAUUCACCUAAACAAAGCCAGAGAUCAUCUAAUUUAUUGCUGGUGGCAGUCCUGCUUUGACUUGCUCCAGGUAGCCCCUAGCAGCCCUCUAGCACUUAACAGGGAAAAAAAAUUCCUACUGGACUUGAAAGGAAUGGCAGAUGUUUGGGGAGAGGGGUGGGAGUAGUUUCAGAUUUUAAAAAUUAUGCAAACAUUUCCAAUUUGACCAGGAAUUUGUCCCCUCUAAUACUGAAAAUGUUUCAUUUUCAGCUUGCUGAUGCACUCAAAAGUAUUAUUUCUCUAAAAAGUGAGAAGAUAAUUGCCUGCCUGAGAAUGAAAAUGUAUUGUGAUACCUUUAGCUGGUUUUCAUUCUGUGGCUCCACAAUACUCCUUUGAGUUUGUGAUUGCUGAUACACACGAUGUACUCUAACACAAUGUUAUCUUGUUUUUGUGCUACUGAAAGGGUUGUUAGCUGUUUCUUUCCUGAACUGUAGCACCACAAUAUACAUAUUGUACUCACUGGCAGGCAAUUCUCUGACUGCUUCCAUCUUCCACCUUACUACUAGAAGAGCUGUAUUUCAGCACUCUGCAGACAUGCACUGACGGGUGCUGAGCUUGACAUCUGGACCUGUCCAGCAAAGGGCAGCAAGGCCCCUGAGAGGUCUGGAAAAUAUGUCUUUUGAGAAAAGCUGAGGGAGCUGGGGUUGUUUAGUUCUGUCAUGGUUUUUAAGUUUUGUUUCUUUACAUUGUCAGUAAGAAAGAAAAGGUUGUGGGGAGAGGAGAAGUGUUCUGAAGGUUUUGUUCUGAUUUUUGUUACUCUUUCUUAUAGUUACUGUUAAUAAAUUUUUUUGUACCCUUUUAAAAUUUUGAGCC
Molecule: long non-coding RNA, 1657 nt
Filed under: Zonotrichia albicollis (white-throated sparrow)
Lineage: Eukaryota; Metazoa; Chordata; Aves; Passeriformes; Passerellidae
Description: lncRNA (ENSZALG00000017011.1)
Source: RNAcentral